Nothobranchius furzeri (turquoise killifish) is the source of this 6152-nucleotide non-coding RNA. The record is from RefSeq and is a predicted model, not a curated record. NCBI's taxonomy places the organism in Eukaryota, Metazoa, Chordata, Actinopteri, Cyprinodontiformes, Nothobranchiidae.
UUACACACAUCAAUUAUAUGGGUUGAAAGGUGUUGGACCAAAUACUGACCCCUGUGGAACAUUAUGUACAAAAAGGCCCAAAAUGGUGAUCUCAUUUCAUACAACCUCACUAAUUGUCUCCUGUUUAAUUUUAUACCCAGUCUACCAGAGACUCCUGACCACUGACACAGAAAACACAAAUGAUCUGGCAGAGAGCAGUGGGACAGAGGCGAUGUUAAAGCAGAACUAUCCUGGUUUAUUUAAUUUUAGCAGCUUUAUCCUGGCUGCAGCAAGAGGACUAUGUUGGUUUAAAUGAGUCGACUCCUUUUAAUUAUUUAAAUUAUCAUAUUUCUCGAAGUACAGGGCGAGGAGGAGGAGUAGCAACCAUUUUUCAUUCGGACUUAUUAAUCAGUCCCUUACCAAUUAGUAGCUACAGCUUGUUCGAAAAUCUUAUUCUUAGUUUUCCUAAUCCAAAUUGCAAAACUGUAAAACCACUCUUGUUUGUAGUUUUAUAUCGUCCACCGGGCCCUUACUCUGAGUUUUUGGAUCAGAUCUCUGAUUUUUUAUCUGAUUUGGUGCUAAAUACUGAUAAGGUCAUUGUAGUGGGGGAUUUUAAUAUUCAUGUGGACAUUGAAAAUGAUAGCCUCAAUGUAGCCCUUAGUAAUAUCUUAGACUCAAUUGGUUUUACUCAAAGAAUACAUAGCUCCACCCACUCCUGCCAUCAUACAUUGGACCUUGUGCUGACUUAUGACAUAGAGUGUGAGGAAAUAACCAUCUUUCGACAUUAUCCAGUCCUCUUGGACCACUUUCUGAUAACCUUUGAGUUUUUUAUAACUGGGUUCUUGAGACAUGAAAGUAAAUUUCACUAUAGUCGGUCUCUAUCUAACAACGCUGUUGCGUCUUUUAAAUCAACUGUCCCAUCUGUACUGUCCUCUGCAUCUCAGAGGCAUGUAGCAGAGGGCAACAUUUUCAGUUCUAGCCCCUCAUAAAUUGAUGCCUUUGUUCAUAAUGUUACUUCCUCUUUACGUGUGGCAUUAGAUGAUGUUGCCCCUUUAAAAAAGAAGGUAAUUAGGGACAGGAAGUUGGCUACCUGGUCUUCAGGCCCUGGUUUAAUUCUCAUUUACGAGCUUUAAAACAAAACACUAGAAAAUUGGAGAGAACAUGGCGCUCUACGUACCAUGAGGAGGCCUACCUAUCCUGGAAAAAUAGUCUUGUGCUUUAUAAAAAUAAGCUUCAACAAACUAGAACUGCUUAUUUCUCAGCAUUAAUUGAGGAAAAUAAGCAUAAUCCUAAAUUUCUUUUCAGUACAGUGGCUAAACUUACACAGAAUCAUAGCUCUGAGCCAUCUAUUCCCUUAGCCCUCAGCAGCAAUGACUUCAUGGGAUUUUUUACAAGUAAAAUGAAUUCUAUUAGAAACAAAAUCUUUUGCAUCCUCCCUAAUGCAAUUUUUUCUUCCUCAGUAAGUGAGGCAGCAUCAGAGGUAACUGUAGAACCUCAUCUGUGCUUGAACCGUUUUGAUCCAGUUGAGCUUCCAGAGUUAUCAAAAAUAUUAGCUUCAUCCAAACCUUCAACUUGCAUUUUAGAUCCAAUCCCAACCAAAUUAUUUAAAGAUGAAUUUCCUUUGGUUACUGCCCCGAUUAUAGAUAUAAUCAAUCAAUCCUCAGUAAAUGGAUAUGUACCACAGGAUUUUAAGGUUGCUGUAAUCAAACUCUCACUUAAGAAGCCUUCUCUUGAUCCAGAUGACCCAAUGAAUUAUAGACCAAUAUGUAACCUUCCAUUUUUAUCCAAAGUCCUGGAGAAAAUGGUGGCCAUCCAAGUAUGUGAGCAUUUAAACACUAAUGAUCUGUUUGAGGAAUUUCAGUCUGGUUUUAGAGCGUAUCACAGUACUGAAACUGCAUUAGUGAGAAUUACAAAUGAUAUUCUCAUGGACUCCGAUAAGAAUCUUGUGUCUGUUCUAGUCUUGUUAGAUCUCAGUGCUGCUGUUGACACAGUAAUUCACAAUGUUCUUGUAGAAAGGCUUGAACAUGUAGUAGGGAUCAAAGGAACAGCGCUAGGCUGGUUUAAAUCCUACCUGUCUGACAGAUUUCAUUUUGUAAAUGUACAUGAAAAAAUCUUCUUCAUACUCCAGGGUUACUUGUGGAGUACCACAGGGUUCAGUGCUUGGACCAAUUCUUUUUACUAUAUAUAUGCUCCCAAUUGGUAAAAUCCUUAGACAGCAUGGGAUAAACUUUCACUGUUAUGCUCAGUUAUAUUUAUCCAUUAACCCUGAUGAACCUAAUUAGUUGGGUAGAUUACAGGCUUGUCUUGAGGACAUAAGAAAUUGGAUUACUCUAAAUUUUUUGCUUUUAAAUCAAGACAAGACGGGAGUUCUCAUCUUUGGACCAGAAAUCCAGAAAAGGAAAUUGCUUAGCCAAUCGCCUGACCUUAAUGGCAUUAAAAAAGUCUCCGAGAACAAAGUAAGAAACAUUGGUGUUAUUUUUGACCAGGACAUGUAAUUCAAAUCCCAGGUUAAUCAUGUUUGUAGGAUUUCCUUUUUCCACCUUCGGAAUAUUGCUAAGAUUAGAAGCAUCCUUUCCAGGAGUGAUGCUGAAAAGCUAGUUAAUGUAUUUAUUACAUCAAGACUGGAUUACUGUAAUUCAUUACUCUCAGGAAGUCCACAGAAUGUAGUUAAAAGUCUUCAGCUUGUCCAAAAUGCUGCAGCUAGAGUUCUGAUGAGAAUUAAAAAGAUAGAUCAUAUCUCUCCUGUCUUAGCUUCCCUACAUUGGCUGCCUGUUAAAUUCAGAAUAGAUUUUAAGAUCCUUCUUCUCACAUAUAAAGCUCUUAAUAAUCAAGCUCCAUCAAACAUCAGUGAUCUGAUUGUUCCAUACGUUCCUAACUGAGCACUUCGCUCUCAGACUGCAGGUUUACUGGUGCUUCCCAGAAUAUCUAAAAUUAGAAUAGCAGGCAGAUCUUUUAGUUAUCAGGCUCCUCUCCUGUGAAACCAGCUCCCAGUCUUAGUCCGUGAGGCAGACACCUUGUCUACUUUUAAGAAUAGGCUCAAAAUAUUUUUAUUUGAUAGGGCUUAUGGUUAAAAUUUGAUGUUAGCCUAAAUCUGGACAAGUGGGGGAGUAGAGGGAGGUGGAGCCGGCUCUUCCUUGCCCUGCCUCCAACAUGCCUCCAUCUAAAAAGGCUCGGUUAUCCAGAGUUAUCUCUGUAGUUAUGCUGCUAUAGGCUUAGACUGCUGGAGGACACACUGACCACUUUUCACACUCUACUACUUUCUUCUACAAUCUGCUCUUUAACAGUAUUAUUUCCUGCUACUUCAGCUAUUAACUUUAUUUUUUCUCUAAGUGUUUUUCUCCCCAGAAGAAGCUAUAAUGAUGUUCUGCUGAUCUGUGGUGGCCUCAUGGAGGGGACCAUCGUCUAGCACACUGGAACAUUUCCACCCGGUUCUCCCCAGCGGCAGCUCUGGCAUCUCAGAUCGUAGCGGCGCUGGUCUGCUGUGCGGCUGUGGGCUUGUGGAGCUCUGGGGAGACCUCUGUGUUUCACCCGGUUUUACCCAGCGGUCAGCCCGGCGUAUCUCUGACUCAGAAGCUCUGGUGUUGUGCACAGUUAACUCUGGUUGUAGCUAGGUUGCUACCUCCAUUAGCUUAGUUCCCACCUCUGUGUUAGCUUCAGGUUAGCUUGUAGCUAGUUUGACCGGGUGUCGUCAGUUGAUCCCAGCCUUAUAGCCCCACCCUCAGCUCCUCCUCUCUUCCCUUUUGUGGAAUUGUCUGGGCCUGACGGAACCUGUGACACGGUCAAAAUGGCGGUGGUGGUCACCUCCCAUUUGGCCUCAAAAACGUGUUAUUGGAUUCUAUGUGUAACCCAUGAGAAGUAUUGGGCUACUAAACCUGUUUAUGUUGUCUGAACUGUAAUACCACAAAUGCCCACCAGGGUGCAGGUUACACCUUCUGAAACCUGAGCUAUAGACGUGCAACAUACUCACUUUUCGCCUCCAAGCAUAUGCGUGGCUGUGCACUGAACGGAGCGAGCUGGAACCUUGUGAGUCAUCUGUGAGCAACGGGAGUAACCGUUUGUUGAGAGCUAGCUUGUGGAGAUCCCGAUUGGUUUUAUAGUGACUCUGCAUUCUUGACGUGAUGGCGAGCCGAGCCCAGAUGGACUGCGGACAGGUGUAAACGGUGUGGCCAGCCGAGACAUCCUUUCGCAGAGGAACCUUCACGAACUGGAAAAAUCCAUACAGAUCUACAGAUAAGACACAAACACUACCCGGGUAGCAACGUUGCUCAAGAACUGAAUCCUAAAGAUCAACAUCUAUAUUUAUUUUUAUUUUUUUGGGGAAAAAGAGCUCUCUUAUUUUGGGUAUUGUAUUUGAUUUUGAAAAUAUUGUAACCACACAUUCUCUUUUUAUUUUAUUUUAUUUUUUUAUAUGCUGGGUGAAGCAAUAAAUCACCGUUGUUCAACUUUCGGAUGGUUUUCCUAAUUCUCUUUGUAGAUAGAGCCUAGUAGAUGUCUAGUACCUGACUAAAACUAGUCCCCUCUAUAGGUGCUACACAUGGAAACCCAUUGUCCAAUAUUUGUAUGUCGAUGCCUUUAACACAUUCCGAAAAAACCCUGUUUGUUGUACAGGAUACUAGUCCAUGAGCUGUACCAUGAGUUCUUAAACACACAUAAAUACACCGAUUUGUAACACCACCUCCAUUUGAGGUUUCAGUUCCCCUUUUACUCUGCAACCGUGCAUGACUCACUUCCUUUAUUAUUAUUAUGAGUUCAUUCUUUCAACACCUACUUCCAGCAGUUGUCGCUUUCUGCUCCUUUUUCUUGGCCCGAGCAGUGUGUACCGUUCAUCCAAGGCAAGGCGAUGUUUGACAUAGAUAAAGUGGGGGUGCAACAGCACCCUCUGCUGGUGACCUCAAAGUUUUAUUUAUCAGGAUGGUGCAAAAGUGGAUUUUAUACUUUUAGGAAGCCUCGAGAAAACAAGAAAGAAAACGAUCUUUUAUAUAGAGCCAUGCUCUGGAACUGAUGUUCAGGUCAGUGGUCUUUCUGGGCAAGAAGGGAGUGGCUUUUUGGGAUGACAGCACCCGUGAUGGUAUGUGAACUCAUGCUGGAAUGUACCUAUAACCUUCCAAAAGAAAGAAUUUACUCUUAAGAGAGAUAACUGGCUCUCAGACUUAAUUCAGAAUGAAGUCAUCUAAUAGUAUGCCUGAAGGCCUGCUGUGCUGUGCAGGUCUUUUUGAGCCGUGUGAAAUAGUGGCCAGGAGUUUACAACACACCAAAGCCAGCACACUGGGCGCCCUUCCGUGCAAUGAACUGCUGAGAAAGUGCAUGAAAGUGCAAUCGAAACACAACAGACCCAGAGGCAGCAGCACAACACUCAUGGCAAUGUGAGUUUUAUGAAGCAGUGGACUUGGCUAUGGAGGAACUAUAAGGAGAUUUGACCAAGAUGGCGUGGAAACAGCAGCUCUUAGAAAGACAGUGGUCAUUAAAGCAGCACAAAAGGAACUUCCUGUGAAUGUGGAUUCCACACCUUCCAUUACGCUUUCACAUGGACCGCCUGGGGAUGCACCUGAAAAUGAUCGGAGAUGUCUUCAGCAACUCUCCUGGUAACACCGUACAGGACGUAACUGCAACAAUGUCUAAACUCCAUCCACAAACAAGGGUUGUUUUCAAAAAAGCUGAAUACCCUCAUCAAUGCUCAUGCCUCCCUGUUUCAGCUGCAUCAUCAGAAAUGUUCCACUCUGCACCGCCUGAACACAUGGUUACACACAACCAUGACACAACAAGGCUGACAUACCUUGCUCUCAUGCAAGUCCAUGAAGAGAUUUUGGACAGUCUGGACAUUGGCAGCCUAAUAAGGAGCUUCAUCAGCGCCAACCCGGAGAGGAAGGCCACAUCCACAGUUGUGUGACGCAGAUGGUAAGUAGUCGCAUUUCAAAUGCUGCUGCCGUGCAGCACACGUUUACGCUGUUCAGCACCACAGUUACGUGGACAGCAGUUUUCAGCACCAUGGACAGUUCACCUGGACUUUGCUACAUAAUUAUUUUUAUUUUUGUUAUUAUUUUCAUAUUUAAUUAAUUUGUUAAUUCUUUCUAUUUUUGUGUGUUACGAUUUUUGCAGGCUUAAUCAAUAUGGCUGGUGUUCCUCGUUCAGCUCUAAAUGAUCAAUGAAUUAAACCUUUUUGAUAAGUGAUCAGA